CAAUCGGCCCUUUUCAGGGCCACCAAUUUCUCAUUCGAUGAAUAU
Harpegnathos saltator (Jerdon's jumping ant) is the source of this 45-nucleotide non-coding RNA. Lineage: Eukaryota; Metazoa; Arthropoda; Insecta; Hymenoptera; Formicidae. The record is from Rfam.